RNAcentral lists this ribosomal RNA (497 nucleotides) under uncultured bacterium. Its description in RNAcentral is "partial 16S ribosomal RNA". It matches the Rfam family "Bacterial small subunit ribosomal RNA", at positions 28 to 507 of the family's 1533-position model. The record is from RNAcentral.
GAUGAACGCUGGCGGCGUGCCUAAUACAUGCCAGUCGAGCGAACGGACGAGAAGCUUGCUUUUCUGAUGUUAGCGGCGGACGGGUGAGUAACACGUGGAUAACCCACCUAUAAGACUGGGAUAACUUCGGGAAACCGGAGCUAAUACCGGAUAAUAUUUUGAACCGCAUGGUUCAAAAGUGAAAGACGGUCUUGCUGUCACUUAUAGAUGGAUCCGCGCUGCAUUAGCUAGUUGGUAAGGUAACGGCUUACCAAGGCAACGAUGCAUAGCCGACCUGAGAGGGUGAUCGGCCACACUGGAACUGAGACACGGUCCAGACUCCUACGGGAGGCAGCAGUAGGGAAUCUUCCGCAAUGGGCGAAAGCCUGACGGAGCAACGCCGCGUGAGUGAUGAAGGUCUUCGGAUCGUAAAACUCUGUUAUUAGGGAAGAACAUAUGUGUAAGUAACUGUGCACAUCUUGACGGUACCUAAUCAGAAAGCCACGGCUAACUACGUG